This 446-nucleotide ribosomal RNA is filed under the name uncultured bacterium. RNAcentral describes it as "partial 16S ribosomal RNA". It matches the Rfam family "Bacterial small subunit ribosomal RNA", at positions 338 to 795 of the family's 1533-position model. The record is from RNAcentral.
CCUACGGGUGGCAGCAGUCGAGAAUCAUUCACAAUGGGGGAAACCCUGAUGGUGCGACGCCGCGUGGGGGAAUGAAGGUCUUCGGAUUGUAAACCCCUGUCAUGUGGGAGCAAAUUAAAAAGAUAGUACCACAAGAGGAAGAGACGGCUAACUCUGUGCCAGCAGCCGCGGUAAUACAGAGGUCGCAAGCGUUGUUCGGAAUCACUGGGCGUAAAGCGUGCGUAGGCUGUUUCGUAAGUCGUGUGUGAAAGGCGCGGGCUCAACCCGCGGACGGCACAUGAUACUGCGAGACUAGAGUGAAGGAGGGGGAAGCGGAAUUCUCGGUAUAGCAGUGAAAUGCGUAGAUAUCGAGAGGAACACUCGUGGCGAAGGCGGGUUACUGGACAUUAACUGACGCUGAGGCACGAAGGCCAGGGGAGCGAAAGGGAUUAGAUACCCCUGUAGUC